This 419-nucleotide ribosomal RNA is filed under the name uncultured bacterium. RNAcentral describes it as "bacterial SSU rRNA". It matches the Rfam family "Bacterial small subunit ribosomal RNA", at positions 82 to 476 of the family's 1533-position model. The record is from RNAcentral.
UUUAUCGAAUCCAGUGGCAAACGGGUGAGUAACACGUAAACAACCUGCCUUCAGGAUGGGGACAACAGACGGAAACGACUGCUAAUACCGAAUACGUUCCACGGGCCGCAUGACCUGUGGAAGAAAGGGUAGCCUCUACCUGUAAGCUAUCGCCUGAAGAGGGGUUUGCGUCUGAUUAGGCAGUUGGUGAGGUAACGGCCCACCAAACCAACGAUCAGUAGCCGGUCUGAGAGGAUGAACGGCCACACUGGAACUGAGACACGGUCCAGACUCCUACGGGAGGCAGCAGUGGGGAAUCUUCCGCAAUGGACGAAAGUCUGACGGAGCAACGCCGCGUGAGUGAAGACGGCCUUCGGGUUGUAAAGCUCUGUGAUCCGGGACGAAAGAGCCUUGGGUAAAUAGCCUUAGGAAGUGACGGU